GAUGAACGCUAGCGGCAGGCCUAACACAUGCAAGUCGAGGGGCAUCGCGGUGCAGCAAUGCACUGGCGGCGACCGGCGUACGGGUGCGUAACGCGUAUGCAACCUGCCCCGCACCGGGGGAUAGCCCGCCGAAAGGCGGAUUAAUACCCCAUGGUCCCGGGGGCCCGCAUGGGCAUCCGGGUAAAGCCUUGGCGGUGCGGGAUGGGCAUGCGUGCCAUUAGCUGGCUGGUGGGGUAACGGCCCACCAGGGCAACGAUGGCUAGGGGGUCUGAGAGGAUGGUCCCCCACACUGGUACUGAGACACGGACCAGACUCCUACGGGAGGCAGCAGUGAGGAAUAUUGGUCAAUGGGCGGAAGCCUGAACCAGCCAUGCCGCGUGCGGGAUGAAGGCCCUACGGGUUGUAAACCGCUUUUCCCCGGGAGAAUAACCCCGAUGAGUCGGGUGAUGCCGGUACCGGGGAAUAAGGAUCGGCUAACUCCGUGCCAGCAGCCGCGGUGAAAUCACGUGUA
RNAcentral lists this ribosomal RNA (511 nucleotides) under uncultured bacterium. RNAcentral describes it as "bacterial SSU rRNA". It matches the Rfam family "Bacterial small subunit ribosomal RNA", at positions 28 to 532 of the family's 1533-position model. The record is from RNAcentral.